RNAcentral lists this long non-coding RNA (1181 nucleotides) under Bemisia tabaci. Its description in RNAcentral is "lncRNA ENSSSA1NGG004194". Lineage: Eukaryota; Metazoa; Arthropoda; Insecta; Hemiptera; Aleyrodidae. The record is from RNAcentral.
AUGGAUUUUGAUCUCUACCUAGUCAACAUAAAACUUGAUAAGACUUUCCCAAUUUAUAGCCUCAUAAAUACUACGGAAAGGUUAUUCAAAUACCUCCAGGUUGGACUGUUUUUGAAGGAUGCUCUCAAUGAACGGGAUGAGGACUCGGAUCUGAAUUCCGUUUUGCACCUCCAGGACGGUAAUUUUCAAUUUCUCAUUGAAUUCUUUGGAUUGAUUACAACAAUCUACCAUCAUCUGCACGCAGAAGGCAACAAAGUCUCUCUCGUCCUGUAAAAGAAGAAGAUCGGCUUGAAAUUGUAUGCUAAUUUAUUUUCUCCACAGAAGCUUCUGAACAAUUAUUUGAUUCCACAUCUAUUAAGGGGAUGUCACAUUGAUCCGAGUGUGACCAAAAAAUUUUCGAUACAAAACUAUUAAAUUUCUACUUUGUUUUUAUCGCAAAUGGGCCCUAGAAUUUCCAAACAUAAACGAAAAAAUGCCAACAAAGGUUGCUUGCUGAACUGAGAUAAUAACACUCUUAUAUGUCAGUGCUGCGAUGCUGCAAUGGCUUGGAGUAAUGCGCUCCAGCUGAGAGGUCUGUGGUUCAAUGCCGAGCAAUUUUAAUAAUUUGUAUUCUUUUUGCUUACUUUUUUAUCUUUCUCUUUGCUCUUAUCCAACUGUGUACGCAACUUACUAUCUUUAAUGUUUAAUAUUCAUUUGCUAUCAGUGAUUAGUAUUACAGCUAAUGAUAGCUUAAAAGUAAUUUCAUUAUUUAUAUUUUAAUAUUAUUUUCUCCUUUUGUUCAUGCAUUCUUUUUGUAGAUGUAAUGUGUUGAGGGCUCUUACCUUUAGGUUCAAGUUAUCUGCUGGCAUGAACUGUUGAGAUUCAAGCUUGAGUAUUGAAGGAUACGGUGCAAUAUCCAACGAAGUUGCUUUUGCUCCAUUGAUAAAGAUUCCUUCACAUUUUAGAGUGUUGCUGAUUAAAUGAUAGACUGUGUUGAAAUCUGUUCAUAAAAAGACAAAUUUAUGAUUUAGUAACUUUUAUGUCAGGAAAAUAAUGCUCAAUUGAAUUAAAGAGUUCGAAAACGUACCAACACAGGUUUUUUAGAUUCCCCUUUUUUUUCGGUUUAGUAACACUUUGGAUCAACGCAUCUGCACGCAAAGGGAAAUUUUGAAACUGCAAUCAGAAGUGCUCGAAACAGCGAC